AUUGAACGCUGGCGGAAUGCUUUACACAUGCAAGUCGAGCGGCAGCGCGGGGCAACCUGGCGGCGAGCGGCGAACGGGUGAGUAAUACAUCGGAACGUACCCAGACGUGGGGGAUAGCCCGGCGAAAGCCGGAUUAAUACCGCAUGAGAUCUGAGGAUGAAAGCAGGGGACCUUCGGGCCUUGCGCGUUUGGAGCGGCCGAUGGCAGAUUAGGUAGUUGGUGAGGUAAAGGCUUACCAAGCCUGCGAUCUGUAGCUGGUCUGAGAGGAUGAUCAGCCACACUGGGACUGAGACACGGCCCAGACUCCUACGGGAGGCAGCAGUGGGGAAUUUUGGACAAUGGGCGCAAGCCUGAUCCAGCCAUUCCGCGUGCAGGAUGAAGGCCCUCGGGUUGUAAACUGCUUUUGUACAGAACGAAAAAGGCCCGGCUAAUAUCCCGGGUUCAUGACGGUAC
This 453-nucleotide ribosomal RNA is filed under the name Lautropia sp. oral taxon A94. Its description in RNAcentral is "bacterial SSU rRNA". It matches the Rfam family "Bacterial small subunit ribosomal RNA", at positions 30 to 478 of the family's 1533-position model. Lineage: Bacteria; Pseudomonadati; Pseudomonadota; Betaproteobacteria; Burkholderiales; Burkholderiaceae. The record is from RNAcentral.